Molecule: ribosomal RNA, 240 nt
Filed under: uncultured bacterium
Lineage: Bacteria
Description: partial 16S ribosomal RNA
Rfam family: Bacterial small subunit ribosomal RNA
Source: RNAcentral
AGUGGCGGACGGGUGAGUAACGCGUGGGUAACCUGCCUCACACUGGGGGACAACAGUUAGAAAUGACUGCUAAUACCGCAUAAGCGCACAGGACCGCAUGGUCCGGUGUGAAAAACUCCGGUGGUGUGAGAUGGACCCGCGUUUGAUUAGCUAGUUGGUGGGGUAACGGCCUACCAAGGCGACAAUCAAUAGCCGACCUGAGAGGGUGACCGGCCACAUUGGGACUGAGACACGGCCCAA